Long non-coding RNA from Gallus gallus (chicken), 2019 nucleotides. NCBI's taxonomy places the organism in Eukaryota, Metazoa, Chordata, Aves, Galliformes, Phasianidae. The record is from Ensembl.
GCUGCGGUAAUGCUUUGCUGCAAAGGUACUUGCAGGUGCCUUAUGGUAAUGUCUUUCUCUCUUUCAUUCCUGAGAAUUAUCUUCUACUGUUCUAGUAUUAAAAGUCUGAAAUGUCAGCCAGCUGGUCGCUGAUUAAUAAAGGAAUGACUCUUUCAGGCCUAAAGGUUGCCUAAGGAAGAAUCAUAGAAUCACCAAGGUUGGAAAAGACCCACAGGAUCACCCAGUCCAACCAUCCACCCAUCACCAAUAGAAAACUUUUCUCCACUGGGAAAAAACACAAGAAUCGUGUCAGCCAAACAUCAGACCUAUUUCACUGCUUCAUGAAUUUAAACUUAGGCUCAAAAAAACCAAACCAAAGCAAAAAUCACCCAAGAAAACAACACUGGUGUCAAAAGGCAUAGAGUAGACAGAACGCUGGUCAAAGGGAAUUUCCUCUACAGAAGUGAAGUGUAGGCACUGCCAGAAGCCAGUCAGAGCUGAUGCUUGACCUGUACACUUGAGACAAGGAGCAGAGACAGAUUCUUUGAGAUUUCUGCAUUUGAAAGAGGCCAUAAAAGAAAAAAAGAUACAGAUGCUUUUCAAGUAUAUGGACGUCAAAUGGAUCUGAAGACACUAAAGAUGGCAUAUCAUUGGAUGGAUACCACUGGCUUUCAACAUAGAAAUCUAAAUAUAGAAAGGAUUAAACAAUCACUUAUAAUUUCACUAAAAUAAGUGCCAAGAUUCCUAUAGUUUCUAAUGGGGGCAGGAGCUGACCUCCUCCUUAGCUGUCCUCAGUUAAACAAUACAGAAACAUAAUGGUAAGUAAUUAAGAGAUGUGGGCUUUUGUCAUUUUUAAUUCCAUGAAAUUUUGUGUUAUUGUUUAUGGUAUUUUUUUAACUCUUGAACUAUGCUGUUAUGUAAAUCUCAGAUCUCUUCAUGCAGCAAUUAUCUGUAUGAGUUUGGAGGUCAAAGUGUUGUGAAAAUAUACUGGGUGUAGAAAUUAAUCAACAUACAAAAUGUACUGGAUUUUCAAGUAGGAAAUAAAAUGUGAUUUUUAUUUUUCUCUUACAAAAACACCUCAGUGAUUUAUUUUUAUAUAAGUAAGAAAUUGCUGUUUAGCAGUCCACCCUCCCAUGAAUAGUAGCUUUCAAAAAGAUGCUUAUCCAAAGUGAUGUCUUAAGCACUUUUGGUAUUUCCCACUGUGAAAAAGAUGGAAUAUAUAGCUGUUGUUAAGUGAUGGAGGAGUAAUGAAUUUAAUCAAACAACAAUAAUAAAAAAAAUCAUAUCACCACAGUAGCAUUAAUCUGCAGAACCUAAACCAGAGCUAAAUGAAUGUCACUCAGAAGGCAAGAGGUGAAAUUCUCCAUGCUAUUUGUGCAGCUUCAUAUUUAUCUGGGGCCCAUCAUCCUAAAGCAGAAUUGAACUAGAGAAUGUAACCUCCCAGAGAUUGAUUGAUUGAUGGAUUGAUUUUCAAUUGACAGCUUGUUGGUUUGUCUCUUAGGUGGAAAAGUUUAUGCACUUGCUUAGAAAGGUGGUUUUUCUGACUCAUGCCUUCUUCUUCUAUAUAUCCAGCCAAUGUAACCAUAAUUUAAUAUUAAGUUUGUGUCUAAUACUCUGUGUAUAUUUAUAUUGGCGAAACUACCCAGGCUCAUACAUUGCCUACCUUGGUAUUUGUAUUCAGGUCAGUCAUCAAAAAGAAGUAGUUGGAUUGAAUUUAGUUCUGUUUUACUCACUGUUAAGGGAAUUGGUUGGCAAGUAGGGAAGGAAUUGAUCUUAGUUAUAAAAUGGAUAGAAAUGAAUGUGGUGUCACCACUGUUUUAAGUUGGAGAGGCAUGUUACAACAGAGACUCUGUGAAGCAGUGCACCACUUGGAAAUUUGUCUCACCCUGUACUUAGAAGUGUUAGUCACUUAACCAUAUUUUUCACUCAGCAUCACAUGUUCUUGCAUUUAAAAUGGCGUAAAUCUCUGUUGGCUAUUCAUGUUCCAUCCUAAUGAAAAACAGAAAUAAAACUGCAGCAGGCAGAAAUUUGAUUCAUCAC